Molecule: ribosomal RNA, 352 nt
Filed under: uncultured bacterium
Lineage: Bacteria
Description: partial 16S ribosomal RNA
Rfam family: Bacterial small subunit ribosomal RNA
Source: RNAcentral
GGAGGAUCCGAGCGUUAUCCGGACNUAUNGGGUNUAAAGGGAGCGUAGAUGGUGAUNUAAGNCAGCGGUGAAAGUUUGUGGCNCAACCANAAAAUCGCCGUNGAAACUGGGUNACUNGAGUGUGUNUGAGGUAGGCGGAAUGCGUGGUGUAGCGGUGAAAUGCGUAGAUANCACGAAGAACUCCGAUUGCGAAGGCAGCUCACUGGAGCGCAACUGACGCUGAAGCUCGAAAGUGCGGGUAUCAAACAGGAUUAGAUACCCUGGUAGUCCACACAGUAAACGAUGAAUACUCGCUGUUUGCGAUAUACAGUAAGCGGCCAAGCGAAAGCGUUAAGUAUUCCACCUGGGGAGU